UAUACAAUUCAGUUUUUUAUAAUGGCUGCAUUUAACAACAGGUUAGCAAAAUUCCUCAAAUGUUAACAGUUGACUUGUGUGAACCUGUAUGAGCAGCUUGUGGCUUGUGGGCCCUGGGACUCUGAGAGGAGAGGAGAGAGGAUGAGCGAGACUGCAGGAAGGGCACAUGAUGGAACCGAUGGAGGACGUCACCAGUGGGAAUGUCUCUCUAUAUGACUGGCCCAGGGACUUCAAAGAAAAAGACACACCAAGGAAAGAUGUAUCAGAGUCACGUCAGCCAGAUGGUGGGAUAAGAGGGCCCCAGCCUUGCCCUCCCACAGGAAUACCGAUGGAACAGCCAUUCAUGGACAAAUAGACUUUUACUAGAGUUCCAGGGUCUCGUUGAGAGGUCCUAGGAGCCAGUGGAACCCAAAAUCGGAGAACAGCCGCAUUGCAAAGUGUGAGAACAGUCUCACUUUACGGACAUCCGCCAGUCCCCAGGCUGGCAUAGCCCAGUGCUUGGAGAGACUCCCUCAGUCUGCGGUUCCUCCCGCAGGAGACACAGAAAGUGAAGCGAGUGUGCCGGUUUCCCCAGCCUUUCCAAACGGGUCUGAGAGGUUUGCUUCUGUUCCCCAGAAUGCUUAGGGAAUUUGCAUUUCUGCCUCAUGGAGGGGCGGUUAAGAACAAAGAGAAGGGUUGGGGCUCAUGGCGACUGACAUGUGAAUCUCCAAAACCAGCCCAUGGGCCCUGCCCAUCAGCUGGCCCACUGGUGGAGCCCAGCAGCUGGCCUGUGGCAGCCCUUACAGAUGUCACCCCAUUGGGCACGCCCCACCCUACCAUGCGUGGCUCUACAAACAGCACCCAGCUUGCAGCGGCCAGCAUGGAUGCCAGUAGCUUGUUGGCUCUGCAGGAUUGGGAGAAAGCGCACAACCCCCCCGACUGCUCCUUCAGCAGGGAAGGAGAGUAAUGGAGCUUGUACCCAUUAUCCUGGGAUGCUGAGUACUACUCCGCGGAAGAUGGACCGGUGACUCAGCCCUUAGCCUGGUUCUGCAGAGUAGGGAGAAAGGGUGUACAAUUUCAGUCCUGCAUGAGAAUAAGUCCCAGAGAGGCACUGUGCCUCGCUGAGCCUAUAAUUAACAAUAUCGUACUGUAUACCUAAAAAUUUGCUAAUAGGAUAGGUCUUAUGUUAAGUGUUCUUAUCACAUAAAAAAAAUUAAAAAUUAAAGAGAUUGGAGGAAACUUCUUGUGGUGCCAGAUAUGUUUAUUGUACCAGUUGUGGUCAUGCUUUCACGAAUGUAUUCUUAUCUCCAAACUCAUCAGGUUGUGUGCAUUAAGUAUGGACAGCUUUUUGUGUGUCGAUCCUACCUCAAUAAAGUGUUGAAAAAUAA
Molecule: long non-coding RNA, 1367 nt
Organism: Lutra lutra (Eurasian river otter)
Lineage: Eukaryota; Metazoa; Chordata; Mammalia; Carnivora; Mustelidae
Exons: 2
Source: RefSeq, a predicted model, not a curated record